This 425-nucleotide ribosomal RNA is filed under the name uncultured bacterium. Its description in RNAcentral is "partial 16S ribosomal RNA". It matches the Rfam family "Bacterial small subunit ribosomal RNA", at positions 354 to 796 of the family's 1533-position model. The record is from RNAcentral.
GUGGGGAAUAUUGGACAAUGGGCGCAAGCCUGAUCCAGCCAUGCCGCGUGAGUGAUGAAGGCCUUAGGGUUGUAAAGCUCUUUCACCGGUGAAGAUAAUGACGGUAACCGGAGAAGAAGCCCCGGCUAACUUCGUUCCAGCAGCCGCGGUAAUACGAAGGGAGCUAGCGUUGUUCGGAAUUACUGGGCGUAAAGCGCACGUAGGCUGAUAUUUAAGUCAUGAGUGAAAUCCCUGGGCUCGACCCCGGAACUGCCUUUGAUACUGGGUAUAUUGAGUAUGGAAGAUGUCAGUGGAAUUGCGAGUGUAGAGGUGAAAUUCGUAGAUAUUCGCAGGAACACCAGUGGCGAAGGCGGCUGACUAGUCCAUUACUGACGCUGAGAUGCAAAAGCGUGGGGAGCAAACAGGAUUAGAACCCCUUGUAGUCC